CUGCGAAUGGCUCAUUAAAUCAGUUAUCGUUUAUUUGAUAGUACCUUACUACAUGGAUAACCGUGGUAAUUCUAGAGCUAAUACAUGCUAAAAAUCCCGACUUCGGAAGGGAUGUAUUUAUUAGAUUAAAAACCAAUGCCCUUCGGGGCUCUCUGGUGAUUCAUAAUAACUUCUCGAAUCGCACGGCCUUGCGCCGGCGAUGGUUCAUUCAAAUUUCUGCCCUAUCAACUUUCGACGGCUGGGUCUUGGCCAGCCGUGGUGACAACGGGUAACGGAGGGUUAGGGCUCGACCCCGGAGAAGGAGCCUGAGAAACGGCUACUACAUCCAAGGAAGGCAGCAGGCGCGCAAAUUACCCAAUCCCGACACGGGGAGGUAGUGACAAUAAAUACUGAUACAGGGCUCUUUCGGGUCUUGUAAUUGGAAUGAGUACAAUUUAAAUCCCUUAACGAGGAACAAUUGGAGGGCAAGUCUGGUGCCAGCAGCCGCGGUAAUUCCAGCUCCAAUAGCGUAUAUUAAAGUUGUUGAGGUUAAAAAGCUCGUAGUUGAACCUUGGGCCUAGCCGGCCGGUCCGCCUCACCGCGUGCACUGGCUCGGCUGGGUCUUUCCUUCUGGAGAACCGCAUGCCCUUCACUGGGUGUGCUGGGGAACCAGGACUUUUACUCUGAAUAAAUUAGAUCGCUUAAAGAAGGCCUAUGCUCGAAUACAUUAGCAUGGAAUAAUAGAAUAGGACGUGUGGGUUCUAUUUUGUUGGUUUCUAGG
RNAcentral lists this ribosomal RNA (760 nucleotides) under uncultured eukaryote. RNAcentral's name for it is "SSU rRNA". It matches the Rfam family "Eukaryotic small subunit ribosomal RNA", at positions 87 to 855 of the family's 1831-position model. The record is from RNAcentral.